UACGUAGGGUGCGAGCGUUGUCCGGAAUUAUUGGGCGUAAAGAGCUUGUAGGUGGUUUGUCGCGUCUGCUGUGAAAAUCCGAGGCUCAACCUCGGACUUGCAGCCGAUACGGGCAGGCUAGAGUUCGGUAGGGGAGACUGGAAUUCCUGGUGUAGCGGUGAAAUGCGCAGAUAUCAGGAGGAACACCGGUGGCGAAGGCGGGUCUCUGGGCCGAUACUGACGCUGAGGAGCGAAAGCGUGGGGAGCGAACAGG
This 253-nucleotide ribosomal RNA is filed under the name uncultured bacterium. RNAcentral describes it as "partial 16S ribosomal RNA". It matches the Rfam family "Bacterial small subunit ribosomal RNA", at positions 524 to 776 of the family's 1533-position model. The record is from RNAcentral.